GUUACAUUGUGUUGUUUAAGUGUUCCCUUUAUUUUUUUGAGCAGUGUAUUAGCUUACUACAAUAGCCUACCACACUACCGCAUUCAUUCAUCAAGGCACGUUAGCGAUAGCAAUAGGCACAUUAGCGAUAGCGAAUAAACCAGCAAGAUAUAUAAUUUUUGACUAACCUUGAUAAGCUUCAUCAGAUGACAGUCCUAUAACAUCAGGUUAUACAUACACUUAUGUUUUGUUCGAAAAUGUGCAUAUUUAGAGCUGAAAUCAGUGGUUAUACAUUGUGCUAACGUAGCAUCUUUUUCCCACAACGUCCAGAUAUUUUUCUGACACUUUUUCUGACACACAUAUUCUGACCAAAUAACUAUUCAUAAACAUAACUAAAAAAUACAUGUUGUAUAGGAAAUGAUAGAUACACUAGUUCUUAAUGCAAUCGCCGUGUUAGAAUUCUAAAAAUAACUUAAUUACGACAUCCAGCUUAGUUAUAGCGAGAGAGUACCCAAAAGCUGGGCGCAAACGACUAGUACAACAUGUUCGACAGAUAUAUGAAAUAGCAUCAUAAAAUGGGUCCUACUUUUGCUGAUCUUCCAUCAGAAUGUUGUACAAGGGGUCCUUUGUCGGGAACAAUCGUUGUUUGGUUUUAUAACGGCCUUUUUCCCUCUCGAUUUAGCAAGCACACUUGCCAAGUGGCGCGAAUCUCUCCAUCGUCAACAAACUCAGAGAACGGAACACGGCAAAACUCCCGAAAAAAUUUCAAUAAUCUGAUUAAACUAUAUUGAAAAAAACAUACUUUACGAUGAUAUUGUCACAUGUAUCAAAUAAAAUCAACGCCGGAGAUAUUAGUCGUCCAUAACGACAGUUUAUCAGAAGGCAAAUCCAGGUCCCUUCUCGCGCUCUCCAGAAAACAGGAAACUGGUGACACGUCAUGCCAAGAGCUAUUAUUUGAGCCCAGAUCAAGUUACACACUCAAUUUCUUCUCUCACUGCUUGUCGACAUCUAGUGGAAGACGUAUGAAGUGCAUCUAAACAAAUAAAUAUCAAGGACUUUAAUAGGCAGGCCCUAGAAGAGAGCAUCGAUUUCAGAUUUUCCACUUCCUGUCAGGAAGUUUGCUGCAAAAGGAGUUCUGUUUUACUCACAGAUAUAAUUCAAACUGUUUUAGAAACUAGAGAGUGUUUUCUAUCCAAUAGUAAUAAUAAUAUGCAUAUUGUACGAGCAAGAAUUGAGUACGAGGCCGUUUAAAUUGGGCACGAUUUUCCCCCAAAGUGAAAACAGCGCCAUCUGUCCUCAACAGGUUUUAAGAGCCAUCCACAUUGCAAUAAGAGUAUUCUUCCAUUUACUUAGCUAUGUCAACUGCUGUUAUUCAAUUAUGUUUCUCUCCCUUUGAUUUCUACUUCUCAGGCAAGAGUACUGUUUAGGUAAGGGUGUGAUGUCUGUACAAAAACUAAUUUAGAAUAAUUAGACACCCUAUAACCCACACACACACUCAUGUAUCAAUCUGAUUGAUGGAUUGUGUUGUGCACUAAGCAGGCUCAGGUGUAUAACUGUGGCUCCUUCCACCUUCAAAUGAUAGGCAAGAGGGCCAACUAUGGAGAGUAGUAAGACACUUUCUAUAACUACGCUAUAUUGUUUGUCCUCGUGUGUCCGUUCAUGUUUAUCAGUAUAAAGUACUCGGCAGCCACUUAGUGUGGACAACAGGUGAGGCCACACACACAGAUUCCUAUUGAACACUGUCUCUUUAACCACCUUAUUUUCUCAAUAAGUCUCUUCACUUCAUCCCUCUCUCCCCUACUCCCUAAAUCCUCUACGUUAUAUCAGCUGUGUCGGUGAACACCUCCCGCAUCUGAACUGGCAACAUAGAGGGCACAGCAUGAUCAGAGGGAGACAGGGAGGGUCCCCAGAGGAGGGUGGACCUGGACCUCUUCUACAUGGACGCUCAUGAAGUCAGCAACCGGAACUUCCAAAGCUUCAUCAACGCCACAGGCUACGUCAGCGAGGCAGAGAGGUUUGGAGAUUCUUUUGUGUUCGAGGGGGUGUUGAGUGAGGAGGUCAAAAGCCAGAUCUCCCAGGCAGUAAGUACGCUUCAGAGCUCAGACCAAAGACUUAAAGGCAACAGAGAAAGAUAGGAGGAUAAAUGAAAUAACCCCAAAACCAGGGAUGUAUUUGUAUGUAUUGUGCAUUUAUCAUGCUGAGGAAUGAAGUGACUGCUGCAGUCAAUGUUCUAUUGUCACUGAGGUAGGUUUUACAAUUUAACUGACUUAUUUGUUGACAUUAGUCUUAUCAAGUGUCUAUUUUUCUCAAUGGAGACCUGAUCAAAGACUUCUUUAAGUGUUGCCUAGGUGCUAGAGUGACUGUUUCUGCAUUCAACAAUGCCACUUACGACACUAAAGCUACUGAGGAGUUUGUAAAGUGUUAAACAAAUCAAAAUAUAUUUUUAAUUCUUCAAAGUAGCCACCCUUUAACUUGAUGACAGCUUUGCACACUCUUGGCAGUCUCUCAACCAGCUUCACCUGGAAUGCUUUUCCAACGGUCUUGAAGGUGUUCCCACAUAUGCUGAGCACUUGUUGGCUGCUUUUCCUUCACUCUGCGGUCCAACUCAUCCCAAACCAUCUCAAUUGGGUUGAGGUCAGCUGAUUGUGGAGGCCAGGUCAUCUGAUACAGCACUCCAUCACUCUCCUUCUUGGUAUAAUAGCCCUUACACAGCCUGGAGGUGUGUUGGGUCAUUGUUCUGUUGAAAAACAAAUGAUAGUCCCACUAAGCGAAAAAACAGAUGGGGAAAGCUUAUCGUUGCAGUAUGCUGUGGUAGCCAUUCUGGUUAAGAGUGCCUGAAUUCUAAAUAAACAGUGUAACCAGCAAAGCACCAUCACACUUCCUCCUCCAUGUUUCACUGUGGGAACCACACAUGUGGAAAUCAUCCAUUCAACCAACUCGGUCUCACAAAGACACGGCGAUUGGAACCAAAAAUCUCAAAUUUGGACUCAAAAAGACAGAUUUCCACUGGUCUAAUCGAACCCACAAAUGCUGAUGCUCCAGUUACUCAACUAGUCUAAAGAAGGCCAGUUUUAUUGCUUCAUUAAUCCGAACAACAGUUUUCAGCUGUGCUGACAUAAUUGCAAAAGGGUUUUCUAAUGAUCAGUUAGCCUUUUAAAAUGAUAAACUUGGAUUAGCUAGCGUUGAUAAUGGCCCUUUACAAUAUUCCUUUACAACAUUAACAAUGUCUACGCUGUAUUUCUGAUCAAUUUUAUGUUAUUUUAAUGUUUACAAAACACGCUAUUCUUUCAAAAACAAGAACAUUUCUAAAUGACCCCAAACUUUUGAACGGUAGUGUAAGAAUGCUGUUCAUUGACUAUAGCUCAGCAUUCAACACCAUAGUACCCUCCAAGCUCACCAUUAAGCUCGGAGCCCUGGGUCUGAACCCAGCCCUGGGUCUGAACCCAGCCCUGUGCAACGCGUCCUAGACUUUCUGAUGGGCCGCCCGCAGGUGGUGAAGGCAGGAAACAACACCACCACUUUGCUGAUCCUGAACACAGGGGCCCCACAAGGAUGUGUGCUCAACCCCCUCCUGUACUCCCUGUUCACCCAUGACUGGGUGGCCACGCACGCCUCAAACUCAAUCAUCAAGUUUGCAGACGACACAACCGUAGUAGGCCUGAUUACCAACAAUGACGAGACAGCCAACAGGGAGGAGGUGAGGGCUCUGGCAGAGUGGUGCCAGGAAAAUAACCUCUCACUCAACAUCAACAAAACAAAGGAGCUGAUCGUGGACUUCAGUAAACAGCAGAGGGAGCAUGCUCCUAUCCACAUCGAUAGGACCGCAGUUGAGAAGGUAGAAAGCUUCAAGUCGUUGGUGUACAGAUCACUGACGAUCUGAAAUGGUCCACCCACAAAGACAGUGUGGUGAAGAAGGCGAAACAACACCUCUUCAACCUCAGGAGGCUGAAGAAAUUUGGCUUGGCACCUAAAACCUUGCAAACUUUUACAGAUACACAAUUGAAAGCAUCCUGUCGGGCUGUAUCACCGCCUUGUACGGCAACUGCACCGCCCGCAAACGCAGGGCUCUCCAGAGGGUGGUGCGGUCUGCCCAACGCAUCCCCGGUGGCAAACUACCUGCCCUCCAGGACAAUACAGCACCCGAUGUCACAGGAAGGCCAAAAAGAUCAUCAAGGACAACAAUCACCUGAGCCAAGGCCUGUUCACUCCGCAAUCAUCCAGAAGGCGAGGUCAGUACAGGUGCAUCAAAGCUGGGACCGAGAGACUGAAAAACAGUCUUCUAUCAAGGCCGUCAGAGUGUAAAAUCACUAGGCAGCGUCCACCAGGGUUACUGUCGUGGAAAUUCUAAUCAAGUGAGAGAGACUUUGUCAUUUCUUCAAACAAUCAACCUUUUAUUUGAUAUCAAUACAUUUUUUGCAAUAAUGGAGCUGGUCAACAAACCACCCGUAGGUGAUUCGUUGAAAGCCCAACAAUACAGGAAAUGCUGAGAUCUUAUAUAGUGGACCUAAACAUGCUUAUUAAUGGCUGGUUCCACCCCUCCCCGGCAGAUCAGGGAAUCAUAAGCUACCUUGUUUUCUUCUUGUGGCUAUGUGUAUCGGGUCAUAGCGCACAAACAAGUGAUAACCUUAGUUCUGUUACUCCUCUCUGUUCAAGCCAGUCUCUGUUCACCUCAUAUCUCCACACAGCUGUGCCCUUCAAAGAUAUGAGAAGAACAGGAUGGACUGAGACACUGUGGUCACUCUGAGGCUCUUUGUCUUAUGCCGUGUGACCAAGUUGAACAGAGGCAGAGUGGAAAAAUACCCGUUUUUUCUUACAAGACCUUCAAACAGACAGUGGAAAUGUACAGGUUUAAGGCUCAUACAGCGCAUGUGCAUAACAAAGUUCAGCAUUAAGAACUAAUGAAGUAAGUAAUUCUUCUUCAUUACAGGCUAUAUGAGCUUAUAGAGCUUAUACAGGAUUUUUCCCCUUACAUUACACAACCCUGCACCAUAGAGGUUGCUGCCCUAUAUAUAUACUGUAGACUUGGAAUCACUGGACACUUUAAUAAUUGAACACUAGUCACUUUAUUAAUGUUUACAUAUUUUUGCUUUACUCAUCUCAUAUGUAUAUACUGUAUUCUAUUCUACUGUAUUUUAGUUUUUGUCACUUUGACAUUGCUAUUCCUAAUAUUUAUAUAUUUCUUAAUGACAUUAUUUUACUUUUAGAUGUGUGUAUUGUUGUGAAUUGUUAGAUAUUACUGCACUGUUGGAGCUAGAAAAACACCAAAGCCCAGCUGUUAGCUGGGCCAAAGAUAUUUUCCCCAGUGGCUGGACUUCUUUGGUGGACAUUGUGCAAUCAGUCAGUGGUAACCUGGUAACGCAAGUCAUGAUUGGUGUCGUGGAAAUAUUCGGUCAAUCAUAUUUCACAAAUACCGGAGCCUGUGAGUUCAAAUAGACUUUUUAUCACAACAUAACAAAAGCCGAGCUGGUUCAUGAAUACAACUGCCUUUCCAGUCUUGGCAAACAAUUUUUAUACAUUAUUCCUCCUUAAGUCACCCUCAUAGUAACUCCUCUUAAUGACUCAUCCCCUCUGGCAUUUAGCCACCGUUAUCUUAUUGCCUUGCACUAAGUUUAGUUUGGUUUCAUAUUAGGGCAUGGAACCCGUAGAGCCACAGAAAUAGUU
Salvelinus fontinalis (brook trout) is the source of this 5640-nucleotide long non-coding RNA. RefSeq lists it as uncharacterized. Lineage: Eukaryota; Metazoa; Chordata; Actinopteri; Salmoniformes; Salmonidae. The transcript is spliced from 3 exons. The record is from RefSeq and is a predicted model, not a curated record.